Molecule: ribosomal RNA, 279 nt
Filed under: uncultured bacterium
Lineage: Bacteria
Description: partial 16S ribosomal RNA
Rfam family: Bacterial small subunit ribosomal RNA
Source: RNAcentral
UGCCAGCCGCCGCGGUAAUACGUAGGGGGCAAGCGUUACUCGGAAUUACUGGGCGUAAAGGGUGAGUAGGCGGCUGGGCAAGUCAAGGAUGAAAUCCCGAGGCUCAACUUCGGAACUGUCCUUGAAACUGCUCAGCUUGAGGGUAGUUGAGGAGAGUGGAAUUCCCGGUGGAGCGGUGAAAUGCGUAGAUAUCGGGAGGAACACCUGAGGCGAAGGCGGCUCUCUAAGCUACUCCUGACGCUGAAUCACGAAAGCUAGGGGAGCAAACGGGAUUAGAUA